This 464-nucleotide ribosomal RNA is filed under the name Vreelandella stevensii. Its description in RNAcentral is "partial 16S ribosomal RNA". It matches the Rfam family "Bacterial small subunit ribosomal RNA", at positions 338 to 795 of the family's 1533-position model. Lineage: Bacteria; Pseudomonadati; Pseudomonadota; Gammaproteobacteria; Oceanospirillales; Halomonadaceae. The record is from RNAcentral.
CCUACGGGUGGCAGCAGUGGGGAAUAUUGGACAAUGGGCGAAAGCCUGAUCCAGCCAUGCCGCGUGUGUGAAGAAGGCCUUCGGGUUGUAAAGCACUUUCAGUGGGGAAGAAAGCCUUGGGGCUAAUACCCUCGAGGAAGGACAUCACCCACAGAAGAAGCACCGGCUAACUCCGUGCCAGCAGCCGCGGUAAUACGGAGGGUGCGAGCGUUAAUCGGAAUUACUGGGCGUAAAGCGCGCGUAGGCGGUCUGAUAAGCCGGUUGUGAAAGCCCCGGGCUCAACCUGGGAACGGCAUCCGGAACUGUCAGGCUAGAGUGCAGGAGAGGAAGGUGGAAUUCCCGGUGUAGCGGUGAAAUGCGUAGAGAUCGGGAGGAAUACCAGUGGCGAAGGCGGCCUUCUGGACUGACACUGACGCUGAGGUGCGAAAGCGUGGGUAGCAAACAGGAUUAGAUACCCGAGUGUC